CAAUAGCGUAUAUUAAAGUUGUUGCAGUUAAAAAGCUCGUAGUUGGAUUUCUGGUUGAAGCGACCGGUCGGGCGUUGAUUCGUCUGCACUGGAGUCGGUUUUGGCCAUCCUCUAGGAAAGUGCGUCUGGUAUUAAGUUAUCGGGCGUAUGAUCCUGGUCUUUUACUGUGAAAAAAUUAGAGUGUUUAAAGCAGGCCUUCGCCUUGAAUACAUUAGCAUGGAAUAAUAAGAUAGGACUUUGGUCUAUUUUGUUGGUUUGCAGACCGAAGUAAUGAUUAAUAGGGAUAGUUGGGGGUACCUGUAUUGCGUUGUCAGAGGUGAAAUUCUUGGAUUUACGCAAGACAAACAGCUGCGAAAGCGUCUGCCAAGGAUGUUUNCAUUAA
RNAcentral lists this ribosomal RNA (382 nucleotides) under uncultured eukaryote. RNAcentral's name for it is "partial 18S ribosomal RNA". It matches the Rfam family "Eukaryotic small subunit ribosomal RNA", at positions 592 to 976 of the family's 1831-position model. The record is from RNAcentral.